GAGUNCAGAAGGGGAGAGUGGAAUUCCAUGUGUAGCGGUGAAAUGCGUAGAUAUAUGGAGGANCACCGGUGGCGAAAGCGGCUCUNUGGUCUGUCACUGACGCUGAGGCUCGAAAGCGUGGGUAGCGAACAGGAUUAGAUACCCUGGUAGUCCACGCCGUAAACGAUGAGUGCUAGGUGUUAGGUCCUUUCCGGGACUUAGUGCCGCAGCUAACGCAAUAAGCACUCCGCCUGGGGAGUACGACCGCAAGGUUGAAACUCAAAGGAAUUGACGGGGGCCCGCACAAGCGGUGGAGCAUGUGGUUUAAUUCGAAGCAACGCGAAGAACCCUACCAGGUCUUGACAUCCCGAUGCCCGCUCUAGAGAUAGAGUUUUUCUUCGGAACAUCGGAGACAGGUGGUGCAUGGUUGUCGUCAGCUCGUGUCGUGAGAUGUUGGGUUAAGUCCCGCAACGAGCGCAACCCUUAUUGUUAGUUGCCAUCAUUGAGUUGGGCACUCUAGCGAGACUGCCGGUAAUAAACCGGAGGAAGGUGGGGAUGACGUCAAAUCAUCAUGCCCCUUAUGACCUGGGCUACACACGUGCUACAAUGGUUGGUACAACGAGUCGCAAGCCGGUGACGGCAAGCUAAUCUCUGAAAGCCAAUCUCAGUUCGGAUUGUAGGCUGCAACUCGCCUACAUGAAGUCGGAAUCGCUAGUAAUCGCGGAUCAGCACGCCGCGGUGAAUACGUUCCCGGGCCUUGUACACACCGCCCGUCACACCACGAGAGUUUGUAACACCCAAAGUCGGUGAGGUAACCAUAUA
This 801-nucleotide ribosomal RNA is filed under the name uncultured bacterium. RNAcentral's name for it is "bacterial SSU rRNA". It matches the Rfam family "Bacterial small subunit ribosomal RNA", at positions 644 to 1444 of the family's 1533-position model. The record is from RNAcentral.